RNAcentral lists this long non-coding RNA (299 nucleotides) under Hordeum vulgare. Its description in RNAcentral is "long non-coding RNA (HVUL_LNC005006)". The record is from RNAcentral. Lineage: Eukaryota; Viridiplantae; Streptophyta; Magnoliopsida; Poales; Poaceae.
GCUGUUUUCCUUUAGUGGUGUUACGUGAACGUCGACUACAUAACACUUCACCAUUAUUUGGGCCUAUAGGAAGGCAUUCAGAAGUAGUAAGUAGAUGAUGGGUUGCUAGAGUGACAGAUGCUUAAACCCUAGUUUAUGCGUUGCUUCGUAAGGGGCUGAUUUGGAUCCACUAGUUUAAUGCUAGGGUUAGACUUUGUCUUAAUUCUUCUUUCGUAGUUGCGGAUGCUUGCGAGAGGGGUUAAUCAUAAGUGGGAUGCUUGUCCAAGUAAGGGCAGUACCCAAGCGCUGGCCACCCACAU